AACGAACGCUGGCGGCAUGCCUAACACAUGCAAGUCGAACGAGACCUUCGGGUCUAGUGGCGCACGGUUGCGUAACGCGUGGGAACCUGCCCUUAGGUUCGGAAUAACUCCCCGAAAGGGGUGCUAAUACCGGAUAAUGUCUUCGGACCAAAGAUUUAUCGCCUUUGGAUGGGCCCGCGUUGGAUUAGCUAGUUGGUAGGGUAAAAGCCUACCAAGGCGACGUUCCAUAGCUGGUCUGAGAGGAUGAUCAGCCACACUGGGACUGAGACCCGGCCCAGACUCCUACGGGAGGCAGCAGUGGGGAAUAUUGGACAAUGGGCGAAAGCCUGAUCCAGCCAGGCCGCGUGAGUGAUGAAGGCCUUAGGGUUGUAAAGCUCUUUUACCCGGGAUGAUAAUGACAGUACCGGGAGAAUAAGCUCCGGCUAACUCCCUG
Molecule: ribosomal RNA, 433 nt
Filed under: uncultured bacterium
Lineage: Bacteria
Description: partial 16S ribosomal RNA
Rfam family: Bacterial small subunit ribosomal RNA
Source: RNAcentral